This 1482-nucleotide ribosomal RNA is filed under the name Cutibacterium acnes. RNAcentral describes it as "partial 16S ribosomal RNA". It matches the Rfam family "Bacterial small subunit ribosomal RNA". Lineage: Bacteria; Bacillati; Actinomycetota; Actinomycetes; Propionibacteriales; Propionibacteriaceae. The record is from RNAcentral.
AGAGUUUGAUCCUGGCUCAGGACGAACGCUGGCGGCGUGCUUAACACAUGCAAGUCGAACGGAAAGGCCCUGCUUUUGUGGGGUGCUCGAGUGGCGAACGGGUGAGUAACACGUGAGUAACCUGCCCUUGACUUUGGGAUAACUUCAGGAAACUGGGGCUAAUACCGGAUAGGAGCUCCUGCUGCAUGGUGGGGGUUGGAAAGUUUCGGCGGUUGGGGAUGGACUCGCGGCUUAUCAGCUUGUUGGUGGGGUAGUGGCUUACCAAGGCUUUGACGGGUAGCCGGCCUGAGAGGGUGACCGGCCACAUUGGGACUGAGAUACGGCCCAGACUCCUACGGGAGGCAGCAGUGGGGAAUAUUGCACAAUGGGCGGAAGCCUGAUGCAGCAACGCCGCGUGCGGGAUGACGGCCUUCGGGUUGUAAACCGCUUUCGCCUGUGACGAAGCGUGAGUGACGGUAAUGGGUAAAGAAGCACCGGCUAACUACGUGCCAGCAGCCGCGGUGAUACGUAGGGUGCGAGCGUUGUCCGGAUUUAUUGGGCGUAAAGGGCUCGUAGGUGGUUGAUCGCGUCGGAAGUGUAAUCUUGGGGCUUAACCCUGAGCGUGCUUUCGAUACGGGUUGACUCGAGGAAGGUAGGGGAGAAUGGAAUUCCUGGUGGAGCGGUGGAAUGCGCAGAUAUCAGGAGGAACACCAGUGGCGAAGGCGGUUCUCUGGGCCUUUCCUGACGCUGAGGAGCGAAAGCGUGGGGAGCGAACAGGCUUAGAUACCCUGGUAGUCCACGCUGUAAACGGUGGGUACUAGGUGUGGGGUCCAUUCCACGGGUUCCGCGCCGUAGCUAACGCUUUAAGUACCCCGCCUGGGGAGUACGGCCGCAAGGCUAAAACUCAAGGAAUUGACGGGGCCCCGCACAAGCGGCGGAGCAUGCGGAUUAAUUCGAUGCAACGCGUAGAACCUUACUGGUUUGACAUGGAUCGGGAGUGCUCAGAGAUGGGUGUGCCUCUUUUGGGUCGGUUCACAGGUGGUGCAUGGCUGUCGUCAGCUCGUGUCGUGAGAUGUUGGGUUAAGUCCCGCAACGAGCGCAACCCUUGUUCACUGUUGCCAGCACGUUAUGGUGGGGACUCAGUGGAGACCGCCGGGGUCAACUCGGAGGAAGGUGGGGAUGACGUCAAGUCAUCAUGCCCCUUAUGUCCAGGGCUUCACGCAUGCUACAAUGGCUGGUACAGAGAGUGGCGAGCCUGUGAGGGUGAGCGAAUCUCGGAAAGCCGGUCUCAGUUCGGAUUGGGGUCUGCAACUCGACCUCAUGAAGUCGGAGUCGCUAGUAAUCGCAGAUCAGCAACGCUGCGGUGAAUACGUUCCCGGGGCUUGUACACACCGCCCGUCAAGUCAUGAAAGUUGGUAACACCCGAAGCCGGUGGCCUAACCGUUGUGGGGGAGCCGUCGAAGGUGGGACUGGUGAUUAGGACUAAGUCGAAACAAGGUAACC